Molecule: ribosomal RNA, 783 nt
Filed under: Hemiasterella sp. Po25931
Lineage: Eukaryota; Metazoa; Porifera; Demospongiae; Tethyida; Hemiasterellidae
Description: partial large subunit ribosomal RNA
Rfam family: Eukaryotic large subunit ribosomal RNA
Source: RNAcentral
ACAAGGAUUCCCUCAGUAACGGCGAGCGAAGUGGGAUAGAGCUCGAGCCUAAAAUCCCUGGCAGGUGUUGCCAGUGAAUUGUGGCCGGUAGAGGCAGCUUGUGCCCUGCCCGGCGUCGUCGAAGUUGACCUGGAAAGGCACGUCGGAGAGGGUGAUAGCCCCGUGUGCGGCUUUGCGGGGUGGGGCAGUCGCUGCCUUCUGAGAGUCGGGUUGUUUGGGAAUGCAGCCCAAAGUUGGUGGUAAACUCCAUCUAAAGCUAAAUAGCGGCACGAGACCGAUAGCAAACAAGUACCAUGAGGGAAAGGUGAAAAGUACUUUGAAAAGAGAGUCAAAGAGACCGCGAAACCGUUAGGAGGGAAACGAAUGCAGCCAGAGAGGCCCCGAUCAGGUUCAGGGGAGGCGGGAAGGGCCGCUGCUGGAGUGCGGCUCCGCUCGGAGGGCCUUCAGCUUCCGUCUUUGUCGCUUCCCUGCAUUCCCGUUUAGGGCCAGCCAACGGCAGUUUUCCCUGGCUCAGAAAGGUUGUCGGGCAGGUGCCUUUCCGGUCGCACUUCGGUGCUCUCGGUGAGAACUUAGAGCCGGCGUCUUUGCAGGCUAGGGGGGACUGAGGAGAGUUGCGACCGUUCGCACGGCAGUGCAGGCUCCCUUUGGGGGGCCGGGUCGCUCCUGGCGGUGUGGUCGGAGCGGUGGGGACUGUUCGCAGUGCUCGCCGACUCGCGUCUGCUCCGGCGGGAGGUCGGCUACGACUUGCGCUGCGGCCGUUGGCUUGCGGAUGGCUUCAUCCGA